UUGAGCGGAGAUUAUGGAGCUUGCUUUAUAUAACUUAGCAGCGAACGGGUGAGUAACACGUAGAUAAUCUAUCCUAUACUGGGGGAUAGCCCGAUGAAAGUUGGAUUAAUACCGCAUAUAGCUAUAUAGUUGCAUGAUUAUGUAGUGAAAGAUUUAUUGGUAUAGGAGGAGUCUGCGGCACAUUAGCUAGUAGGUGAGGUAAAGGCUUACCUAGGCGACGAUGUGUAGCCGGUCUGAGAGGAUGAACGGCCACAAUGGAACUGAGACACGGUCCAUACUCCUACGGGAGGCAGCAGUGGGGAAUAUUGCACAAUGGGGGAAACCCUGAUGCAGCAACGCCGCGUGAAUGAAGAAGGUUUUCGGAUUGUAAAGCUCUGUUAGCAGGGAAGAGGAAGGACGGUACCUGCAGAGGAAGCCACGGCUAACUACGUGCCAGCAGCCGCGGUAAUACGUAGGUGGCAAGCGUUGUUCGGAAUAACUGGGCGUAAAGGAUGCGUAGGCGGUUAAACAAGUUAUAUGUUAAAUAUAUAGGCUUAACCUGUAGAAAGCAUAUAAAACUGUUUAACUAGAGUGCAGGAGAGGUAAGUGGAAUUCCUAGUGUAGCGGUGAAAUGCGUAGAGAUUAGGAAGAACACCAGUGGCGAAGGCGACUUACUGGACUGUAACUGACGCUGAGGCAUGAGAGCAUGGGGAGCAAACAGGAUUAGAUACCCUGGUAGUCCAUGCUGUAAACGAUGGGUACUAGGUGUGGGUUGUGAAUAACAAUUCGUGCCGUCGCANACGCAAUAAGUACCCCGCCUGANGAGUAC
RNAcentral lists this ribosomal RNA (808 nucleotides) under uncultured bacterium. RNAcentral describes it as "bacterial SSU rRNA". It matches the Rfam family "Bacterial small subunit ribosomal RNA", at positions 62 to 883 of the family's 1533-position model. The record is from RNAcentral.